This 1346-nucleotide ribosomal RNA is filed under the name uncultured bacterium. Its description in RNAcentral is "partial 16S ribosomal RNA". It matches the Rfam family "Bacterial small subunit ribosomal RNA", at positions 28 to 1381 of the family's 1533-position model. The record is from RNAcentral.
GACGAACGCUGGCGGCGUGCUUAACACAUGCAAGUCGAACGGAAAGGCCCUGCUUUUGUGGGGUGCUCGAGUGGCGAACGGGUGGGUAACACGUGAGUAACCUGCCCUUGACUUUGGGAUAACUUCAGGAAACUGGGGCUAAUACCGGAUAGGAGCUCCUGCUGCAUGGUGGGGGUUGGAAAGUUUCGGCGGUUGGGGAUGGACUCGCGGCUUAUCAGCUUGUUGGUGGGGUAGUGGCUUACCAAGGCUUUGACGGGUAGCCGGCCUGAGAGGGUGACCGGCCACAUUGGGACUGAGAUACGGCCCAGACUCCUACGGGAGGCAGCAGUGGGGAAUAUUGCACAAUGGGCGGAAGCCUGAUGCAGCAACGCCGCGUGCGGGAUGACGGCCUUCGGGUUGUAAACCGCUUUCGCCUGUGACGAAGCGUGAGUGACGGUAAUGGGUAAAGAAGCACCGGCUAACUACGUGCCAGCAGCCGCGGUGAUACGUAGGGUGCGAGCGUUGUCCGGAUUUAUUGGGCGUAAAGGGCUCGUAGGUGGUUGAUCGCGUCGGAAGUGUAAUCUUGGGGCUUAACCCUGAGCGUGCUUUCGAUACGGGUUGACUUGAGGAAGGUAGGGGAGAAUGGAAUUCCUGGUGGAGCGGUGGAAUGCGCAGAUAUCAGGAGGAACACCAGUGGCGAAGGCGGUUCUCUGGGCCUUUCCUGACGCUGAGGAGCGAAAGCGUGGGGAGCGAACAGGCUUAGAUACCCUGGUAGUCCACGCUGUAAACGGUGGGUACUAGGUGUGGGGUCCAUUCCACGGGUUCCGUGCCGUAGCUAACGCUUUAAGUACCCCGCCUGGGGAGUACGGCCGCAAGGCUAAAACUCAAAGGAAUUGACGGGGCCCCGCACAAGCGGCGGAGCAUGCGGAUUAAUUCGAUGCAACGCGUAGAACCUUACCUGGGUUUGACAUGGAUCGGGAGUGCUCAGAGAUGGGUGUGCCUCUUUUGGGGUCGGUUCACAGGUGGUGCAUGGCUGUCGUCAGCUCGUGUCGUGAGAUGUUGGGUUAAGUCCCGCAACGAGCGCAACCCUUGUUCACUGUUGCCAGCACGUUAUGGUGGGGACUCAGUGGAGACCGCCGGGGUCAACUCGGAGGAAGGUGGGGAUGACGUCAAGUCAUCAUGCCCCUUAUGUCCAGGGCUUCACGCAUGCUACAAUGGCUGGUACAGAGAGUGGCGAGCCUGUGAGGAUGAGCGAAUCUCGGAAAGCCGGUCUCAGUUCGGAUUGGGGUCUGCAACUCGACCUCAUGAAGUCGGAGUCGCUAGUAAUCGCAGAUCAGCAACGCUGCGGUGAAUACGUUCCCGGGGCU